Molecule: ribosomal RNA, 475 nt
Filed under: uncultured bacterium
Lineage: Bacteria
Description: bacterial SSU rRNA
Rfam family: Bacterial small subunit ribosomal RNA
Source: RNAcentral
UAUGAGUUCGAUUCUGGCUCAGGAUGAACGCUGGCGGGAUUCUUCACACAUGCAAGUCGAACGGAGUUCUUAGGAAAUAAGUUGCCGACGCGAGAGCCUUCCUCCCGCAUCCGGCAAAAGUUUGGGAGCCACAGUCCCAAAGGGGAAAAUACCCCGGAUGUGCCUGCGGGAGGAAUAUUAAUCGCCUUUCAGUGAGCAGUCGUUUGGUCAUCCUGUAGGUCCAUAAGAGCGCACCUAGGCGGCGAUCAGUAUACCACACGAGAGGAUGACCCACCACCGAGCUCAUCAAAAGCGGCCCAGACUCCACCGGGAGGCAGCUGUGGGGAAUUUUCCGCAAUGGGCGAAAGCCUGACGGAGCAAUGCCAGAUUAGGGAGGAAGGCUCUCCCGUUGUAACCCUCUUUUCCCAAGGAAUAAGAAAGUGAAGCAUCCGGAAAACACACCACCAGCGUUCACCGUGACCCCAGACCCGGCAAU